CACUGGUUGGAUCCGAACAAGAGAGUCUGGAAGCAACUCAAAGGCACGUCACCGUUCACCUUAUACUUCAGCGUCAAAUUUUACGCCGCUGAUCCAUGUCGCCUAGUAGAAGAGAUUACAAGGUACCAAUUCUUUCUUCAAGUCAAGCAAGACAUCUUACAAGGAAGACUACCAGUGUCCCAAGAUCUUGCAGCAGAAUUAGGAGCUUACGCAGUGCAAUCUGAGUUGGGUGACUAUGACCCCAGAAGGCACUCACCGGGUUAUGUGUCAGAGUUCCGUUUUGUCACUACCCAGACCGUGGCGCUGGAAAACAGGAUCGCUGACCUGCACAAGAAGCUCAUCGGCCAGGUGCCCAGCAAGGCUGAGCUGUGUUACCUGGAAAAGGUGAAGUGGUUGGACAUGUACGGUGUUGACCUGCAUCCUGUCUUGGGCGAGGAUAAUAUUGAAUACUUCCUGGGUCUUACGCCUUCCGGGGUCAUUGUGCUUCGGAACAAGGCCAAAGUCGGGAACUACUUCUGGCCCAGGAUAUCCAAGGUGUACUUCCGAGGCAGAUUCUUCAUGCUGAGAGUGAGGGACAAAAACAACUCCGAGAACACGUAUGGCUUUGAGACCCCCAGCAAGGCCGCAUGUAAGCACCUGUGGCAGUGUUGCGUUGAGCACCACGCCUUCUUCCGCCUCACCCAGGCCUCGGGGAACUCGCCUGCUGCUAUAUUCUCUCUCGGUGCCAAGACGGGCCGCAGCGAGAAGGACGGGGAGGUGGGUGAUGCCAGGCUGGGUUCCCGCGCUCAGCCAGAAUUCUCCCGCAUGCCCAGCCGUCGAUACCAGCGGCGGAUUGUGGAGGGCGCACAGGAUGCGCCGAGGGUGGAAGAUUGUGAGGUCAAGACUGAGUUCCACAAUGGCAGCCACCUCAUGACCUCACCGAUGACCUCGUCGUCCAGCAUGCAUCGGUCCUGUUCCCUGAGCUUAGGCGGGUGUCACCACUCCCCGCGCAGCACCCGCUCAGCACCACACACAGCCACCGCCCCCCACGGCCUCAACACCACCACCGCCGCCACCACCGCCACCCUCAUCACCGGCCGCAUCAGAGGAGAAUCACCACGGUCUGUCCACUCGGCCGCCACUACCACUGCCGCCACUCAGGACUACAGCCGGGUGUCACGCCGGGCCUCAAGUGUCGAUAGCCAGUCCUCGGUGGAUUCCAGGGGCCACAGGAGACAUCGGCGUAGUCGUGGCCGCUCCUCCGACGGUGAGAGCGAAGCCUCAAGCAAAUGUUCCUCUAGGGGUCACCACCACCGCCACCACCGCCAUCACCACCACCACCACCACUCAGAUGACUCCGACCACCACCACCGCCACCGCCACCGCCGCCGCCGACACAAGUCAGGAGGAGCAGAGCCACAGUGGGCACAGGUCACGGCAGGUCAAACGCAGGUCCGAGGUCACACAGCCACCGUGCGCGACCUGACCCAUAAGAGUGGCUACCAACCCUCGGGCGUGGACACAGAAGCGGACUCCCUCCACCACCACCACCACCGCCACUCACACAAGAAGAGGCACCGGAAACACAGGUCCAGGUCUCGCUCGCCCUCGGAGGCUCGCCACUCCAAACUUCCCGAGGAGCUGCGUCGCCACCUUGCCCUCGACCUCCAGACCAACCCUGGACUGAGCGAGGCCGAGCUAAGACAGAUUCCCUACACCAAGGUGGAGACCGCUCGCACCAUCAAGAUCAAGUAUGGCGGCUCCCCCAAGGCCAGGAGACACCGCAGCCCUCAUCAGUCCAAGAGCAACUGCAGCGAUCGCAAAGCCACUUCGCCGGUGGAUGGGGAGAGCCCCCCACCCCCCUACACCCCCUCCCCGGCCGCCAAGACCACCAGCACACUGCCCAGGCCCUCCAAGGAGGCAUCUGCGGAGAGAGCAGCGAUGCCUGAUGGGGCCAUGGUGGGGGUUGGAGGGGGCAGGGAGACCACCACCACCACCACCACCACUGGCACCACCACCACCUCCACCACCAGCACACCAGCACCCCUUCCAAGGUACUACUUCAUGAGGGACCUGUAUGUGUAGGUGCCUGGGUGUGCCUGCCGUGCCUGGCCUGCCUAUCAACCCCUACUAACAUGAAGCCAAAGAGUGAGUCCAGGUCCUCACAGCAACAACCAAAAAUAUAGCAGUAGCAGCCGCAGCAGUAGUAGCAGCAGCAGUAGCAGUGGUAGUAGCAGUAGCAACACAGGAGGGGUGUCAGGUUGCAUUGAGAGUAACGCUGAACACCCACCACCAC
Molecule: RNA transcript, 2275 nt
Organism: Eriocheir sinensis (Chinese mitten crab)
Lineage: Eukaryota; Metazoa; Arthropoda; Malacostraca; Decapoda; Varunidae
Gene name: band 4.1-like protein 4
Source: RefSeq, a predicted model, not a curated record